RNAcentral lists this ribosomal RNA (230 nucleotides) under uncultured bacterium. RNAcentral describes it as "partial 16S ribosomal RNA". It matches the Rfam family "Bacterial small subunit ribosomal RNA", at positions 118 to 350 of the family's 1533-position model. The record is from RNAcentral.
UGGGCAACCUGCCCUCAGCUCUGGGACAACUCCGGGAAACCGGGCUAAUACCGGAUACGACCUUCCCUCGCAUGGGGGCUGGUGGAAAGUUUUUCGGCUAAGGAUGGGCUCGCGGCCUAUCAGCUAGUUGGUGUGGAUAAUGGCCCACCAAGGCGACGACGGGUAGCCGGCCUGAGAGGGUGACCGGCCACACUGGGACUGGGACACGGCCCAGACUCCUACGGGAGGCA